Pygocentrus nattereri (red-bellied piranha) is the source of this 529-nucleotide long non-coding RNA. The record is from Ensembl. NCBI's taxonomy places the organism in Eukaryota, Metazoa, Chordata, Actinopteri, Characiformes, Serrasalmidae.
GUGCUUCUGAUAAAAUGUGUAUGUGUGCUUGUUUGUGUCUGGGUGUAUGUGUGUUUGUUUCAGGGCCCACGGGGUCUAGAUGGCCCAGUUGGUGAGGCUGGCACUGAGGGUAAAAAGGUAGAACACAAUAAACAACGCAGUAGUCAGUAAUAAUGAAAAUAAUAUAGCUGCCAUUAUUAAUUGAUUUAUCCUUUGCAUUCUUGUUGCCUCUUUUCUCCUCCAAUAGGGUCUUGAUGGUCCCCCUGGAAAAAUUGGCUUCCCUGGAGACCAGGGUAAGAUUGGGGAGCCUGGCGAGGUCGGGACAAAAGGGUUUCCGGGGAUUCAGGGGCCUUCAGGGGCACCAGGAGCCAAAGGAAUCGCAGGAGAGCCAGGCCCCUCAGGAAUACCAGGAGCAAUAGGGCCUCUCGGAAACAUUGGGCCAAAGGGCCCUCCAGGAAAAGUGGGAGACUCUGGAGUUCUAGGUGAACCAGGAGAGAAGGUAGGUUUCAUAACGUCUGAGAAAAGUCAGUACAGUCACCAGUAAAUUUAA